This 31-nucleotide non-coding RNA is filed under the name Mus musculus (house mouse). Lineage: Eukaryota; Metazoa; Chordata; Mammalia; Rodentia; Muridae. The record is from RNAcentral.
UAUAAAGGGAUCUAAUGCCCUCUUCUGGUGU